RNAcentral lists this long non-coding RNA (1962 nucleotides) under Homo sapiens (human). RNAcentral's name for it is "HSALNT0234191". Lineage: Eukaryota; Metazoa; Chordata; Mammalia; Primates; Hominidae. The record is from RNAcentral.
GUUUUGAUGCCUCCACUGAGGCAUGUUUGCCCCAGGAGAUGUAGGGUCUCCUCCUGGCUUACGUAAAGAACCAGUGUGUUAGUCAGUAUUCUGUUGUAACCCAGACUCCAAAACUCUCCGUGGUUUACAGCAGAGGUUUAAUUCUUGCACUCAAGUCUGCAGCUCAGCUGCCUCUGCUUAGCUCUGCUCCCAUCUUCUCACUCCAGGACUCAGGCUGAAAGAGCAGCAUCAUCUGGGAACUGUGGAGCUUACAGCAGAAAGCAGUAAGGCAAGAGGCCAAGCCAAACUAUGCAAUCUCAUUGAAAGCUUCUGCUCAGACAGCAUAAAUCAUGUCCGCUCACAUUCCAUUGGAAGAAGCGAGUCACAAGGCCAAACCUGCCAACAUACUCCCCUUACUGGAUUGCUCCUGGAAGUCACGUGGCAAACGGUGUUGGACGUGUAAUACCCUCAGACAGAGGCAGAAGAUAGUUGCAAACAAUAACAUAAUCGGUCGUACCAAGAAACAAGUGCUGGAACAAUGGGACUUAAGGAUAAAUCUGCCUUUCACAGCAGGGAGCCCCCCAGUGGGGCGAAUGGAAGAGAAUAUAAAGUUCCCAGGCUCUUGAAUUGAACAAAGACGGAGUCUCAGCUGCAGACAGGCCAAAUUCCAGUGGCAAAAACAAUGUCCUGAGAGCCAGAGCUUCCAACAUCUGGAGCCCAAACAGGGACCUAACAAAAGAUCAGAAUACAAUGACCCCGGGGGAUGCCUGACGAGUGUAUCAUUCUGUCUGAGGUUGAAGACAAAGAAAGGCCACUAUGAGUUCAGUAUCCAGAAGGUCCUGGAUUUCUUUCCGGCUCACAAGAAGGGAAAUUAGGGAACAUGGGCUUAAACAUGUCUUCACUGGCAUUGAAUCUGUGAGAAGUCAGCCCCACGGUUUUGGUAAUACUAAGUUAAAUACUAGUUUAAAAUGAGUUUGAGCCUAUUUGAACCCAAUUUGAUGUGAUAUGCACAGGGACUUAGGCCCCAGGCUUUGUGUUUUGUUGUUGUUGUUGUUGUUUGUUGUUUGUUUUUUUUUUGAGACGGAGUCUCACUCUGCCACCCAGGCUGGAGUGCAGUGGUGCGAUCUUGACUCACGGCAACCUCCACCUCCUGGGUUCAAGCGACUCUCCUGCCUCAGCCUCCUGAGUAGCUGGGAUUACAGGAGCCUGCCACCAAGCUAGUUUUUGUAUUUUUAGUAGGGAUGGGGUUUCACUGUGUUGGCCAGGCUGGUCUCAAAGUCCUGAACUCAAGUGAACUGCCUGCCUCGGCCUCCCAAAGUGCUGGGAUUACAGGCGUAAGCCACCGCGCCCAGCCGGCCCCUGGCUUUGGACCUUGGCCCUGUUGUUGAACAGCUCUGCAACUGUGGACAAGGAACUUAAUUUCUCUGUGCUUCAAUUUUGUUCUUGAAAAAGGGGAUAAUGAUAGUAUCUACCUCACUGGGAUGUGUUUUAGGAUUAAAUAUAUACAAAUAAAGCUCCUAGCACAGGACUUGUCAUAUAGUGAACAAACAACAAAUUUUGUUAUAAACACUAAUGUAAUGAGGAUCAAAAUCAUUAGUAUUUGGGUGUUUGUAGCUUUUCCCUUUCCUCUCCUAUUAAAAGCCAGUAUUACUUGGUCAGCAAAUCCUCCUCAGCCCCUUCUCCCACACUGUCCUCUGCUUUGGGGUCUUAUUGGGAAAUGUGGUGAAUGAGUGGGAGAACCAGACCGAGGGGGUGGAUCACCUGAGGUCAGGAGUUUGAGACCAGCCUGACCAACGUGGUGAAAAUUCAUCUCUACUAAAAAUACAAAAAUUAGCCAGGUCCAGUGUCAGGUGCCUGUAAUCCCAGCUACUUGGGAGGCUGAGGCAGAAGAAUUGCUAGAACCCAGAAGGCAAAGGUUGCAGUGAGCCGAGAUUGCACUACUGCACUCUAGCCUGGGCCACAGAGCAAGACUCCGUCUCAAAA